RNAcentral lists this ribosomal RNA (468 nucleotides) under uncultured bacterium. Its description in RNAcentral is "partial 16S ribosomal RNA". It matches the Rfam family "Bacterial small subunit ribosomal RNA", at positions 28 to 507 of the family's 1533-position model. The record is from RNAcentral.
GACGUACGCUGGCGGCGUGCUUAACACAUGCAAGUCGAACGGAAAGGCCCUGCUUUUGUGGGGUGCUCGAGUGGCGAACGGGUGAGUAACACGUGAGUAACCUGCCCUUGACUUUGGGAUAACUUCAGGAAACUGGGGCUAAUACCGGAUAGGAGCUCCUGCUGCAUGGUGGGGGUUGGAAAGUUUCGGCGGUUGGGGAUGGACUCGCGGCUUAUCAGCUUGUUGGUGGGGUAGUGGCUUACCAAGGCUUUGACGGGUAGCCGGCCUGAGAGGGUGACCGGCCACAUUGGGACUGAGAUACGGCCCAGGCUCCUACGGGAGGCAGCAGUGGGGAAUAUUGCACGAUGGGCGGAAGCCUGAUGCAGCAACGCCGCGUGCGGGAUGACGGCCUUCGGGUUGUAAACCGCUUUCGCCUGUGACGAAGCGUGAGUGACGGUAAUGGGUAAAGAAGCACCGGCUAACUACGUG